Molecule: long non-coding RNA, 495 nt
Filed under: Physcomitrium patens
Lineage: Eukaryota; Viridiplantae; Streptophyta; Bryopsida; Funariales; Funariaceae
Description: long non-coding RNA (PPAT_LNC012521)
Source: RNAcentral
CUUGUCUAAACAAAGAAGUACCUCCAUUACAUAACCUUGCUCAAAACUAUUAUAUAGAUUUUUUGAAAUCUCAAGCUUUUUUCUAUAAGCCCACAUUUUAUAAGAAAGCCUUGUAUUAAAGUAAAAGUAGAAUAAGUUAUCUUAUAGAGGAUAUUAACUUAGGUAACUGUGAUUUUUAUUUUAUUUAUUCUACAAUUCUUUCUAGAAUAAAUUUAUAUAGGAGAAUUCGAACACAUAGUAACAAUACUCCUUCAUCAACAAAUAACCACAAUGUGCAACCCUACACUCUCAAAAGAUUGUUCAAAACUCAAUAAAUUCCAUCUAACACCAGGAAUAACAGACUUCACUCCAACCAAUCUGAAUUCACAAAAUUCUUGUAAUCACAGACUUCUUCUAUCAAAAUACAUACACAACUCUCAAAAAAUAACAAUCAUAAUCUUCCAUCCAUAAUCAAUCUUUCAAUAACUUCUCAUAUAAUUCAAUCACUCAGUACUC